This 714-nucleotide ribosomal RNA is filed under the name uncultured bacterium. Its description in RNAcentral is "bacterial SSU rRNA". It matches the Rfam family "Bacterial small subunit ribosomal RNA", at positions 111 to 823 of the family's 1533-position model. The record is from RNAcentral.
UAACACGUAUCCAACCUGCCGUCUACUCUUGGACAGCCUUCUGAAAGGAAGAUUAAUACAAGAUGGCAUCAUGAGUUCGCAUGUUCACAUGAUUAAAGGUAUUCCGGUAGACGAUGGGGAUGCGUUCCAUUAGAUAGUAGGCGGGGUAACGGCCCACCUAGUCUUCGAUGGAUAGGGGUUCUGAGAGGAAGGUCCCCCACAUUGGAACUGAGACACGGUCCAAACUCCUACGGGAGGCAGCAGUGAGGAAUAUUGGUCAAUGGGCGCAGGCCUGAACCAGCCAAGUAGCGUGAAGGAUGACUGCCCUAUGGGUUGUAAACUUCUUUUAUAAAGGAAUAAAGUCGGGUAUGUAUACCCGUUUGCAUGUACUUUAUGAAUAAGGAUCGGCUAACUCCGUGCCAGCAGCCGCGGUAAUACGGAGGAUCCGAGCGUUAUCCGGAUUUAUUGGGUUUAAAGGGAGCGUAGAUGGAUGUUUAAGUCAGUUGUGAAAGUUUGCGGCUCAACCGUAAAAUUGCAGUUGAUACUGGAUAUCUUGAGUGCGGUUGAGGCAGGCGGAAUUCGUGGUGUAGCGGUGAAAUGCUUAGAUAUCACGAAGAACUCCGAUUGCGAAGGCAGCCUGCUAAGCUGCAACUGACAUUGAGGCUCGAAAGUGUGGGUAUCAAACAGGAUUAGAUACCCUGGUAGUCCACACGGUAAACGAUGAAUACUCGCUGU